UUAACUCAAAUUUGUAUGAAGUUGGAACGUUUGCCUACGUUUGCCGCUAAGGGCGCUGUUCCAACUGCAUACAAAUUUGAGUUA
Bombyx mori (domestic silkworm) is the source of this 84-nucleotide non-coding RNA. The record is from Rfam. Lineage: Eukaryota; Metazoa; Arthropoda; Insecta; Lepidoptera; Bombycidae.